CCUAACACAUGCAAGUCGAACGGUAACAGGAAGAAGCUUGCUUCUUUGCUGACGAGUGGCGGACGGGUGAGUAAUGUCUGGGAAACUGCCUGAUGGAGGGGGAUAACUACUGGAAACGGUAGCUAAUACCGCAUAACGUCGCAAGACCAAAGAGGGGGACCUUCGGGCCUCUUGCCAUCGGAUGUGCCCAGAUGGGAUUAGCUAGUAGGUGGGGUAACGGCUCACCUAGGCGACGAUCCCUAGCUGGUCUGAGAGGAUGACCAGCCACACUGGAACUGAGACACGGUCCAGACUCCUACGGGAGGCAGCAGUGGGGAAUAUUGCACAAUGGGCGCAAGCCUGAUGCAGCCAUGCCGCGUGUAUGAAG
Molecule: ribosomal RNA, 367 nt
Filed under: uncultured bacterium
Lineage: Bacteria
Description: bacterial SSU rRNA
Rfam family: Bacterial small subunit ribosomal RNA
Source: RNAcentral